RNAcentral lists this ribosomal RNA (1767 nucleotides) under uncultured marine eukaryote. Its description in RNAcentral is "SSU rRNA". It matches the Rfam family "Eukaryotic small subunit ribosomal RNA". The record is from RNAcentral.
UAACCUGGUUGAUCCUGCCAGUAGUCAUAUGCUUGUCUCAAAGACUAAGCCAUGCAUGUCUAAGUAUAAAUGUUAUACAGUAAAACUGCGAAUGGCUCAUUAAAACAGUUAUAGUUUAUUUGGUACUCGAUUUACAUGGAUAACCGUGGUAAUUCUAGAGCUAAUACAUGCUUUAAAGCCCGACUUCUCGGAAGGGCCGUAUUUAUUAGAUAACAGACCAAUACUCCUCGUGUCUAUUGUGGUGAGUCAUAGUAACUUUUCGGAUCGCAUGGGCUUUGUCCCGCGACAAACCAUUCAAGUUUCUGCCCCAUCAGCUUUCGAUGGUAGUGUAUUGGACUACCAUGGCUUUCACGGGUAACGGAGGAUUAGGGUUCGAUUCCGGAGAGGGAGCCUGAGAAACGGCUACCACUUCUAAGGAAGGCAGCAGGCGCGUAAAUUACCCAAUUCUAAUUCAGAGAGGUAGUGACAAGAAAUAACGGGUCGGGCCUUCGGGUCUGGGACUGCAAUGAGACGAAUUUACACCCCUUUUCGAGCAUCAAUUGGAGGGCAAGUCUGGUGCCAGCAGCCGCGGUAAUUCCAGCUCCAAUAGCGUAUAUUAAAGUUGUUGCAGUUAAAAAGCUCGUAGUUGGAUUUCUGGUUGCAUGCUUGGACCUACUGAUGUAGUGGACGAGGUGCUUCCAUCCUUCUGUUAACCACCGUUGGCUUCACAAGUUCGGUCGGGGCUCAGAUAUUUUACCUUGAGAAAAUUAGAGUGUUUCAGGCAGGCUAGCGCCGGAAUACAUUAGCAUGGAAUAAUAGAAUAAGGACUUUUACCUCUUCUGUUGGUCUGAGGGGUUAAAGUAAUGAUUAAUAGGGAAAGUUGGGGGCAUUGGUACUUAGCUGUCAGAGGUGAAAUUCACGGAUUUGUUAAAGACCAACUUAUGCGAAAGCAUUUGCCAAGGAUGUUUUCAUUAAUCAAGAACGAAAGUUAGGGGAUCAAAGACGAUCAGAUACCGUCCUAGUCUUAACCAUAAACUAUGCCCGACUCGGGAUUGGAGCAAGAAUAUCUGCUUUCAGCACCGUAUGAGAAAUCAAAGUCUUUGGGUUCUGGGGGGAGUAUGGUCGCAAGGCUGAAACUUAAAAGGAAUUGACGGAAGGGCACCACCAGGCGUGGAGCUUGCGGCUCAAUUUGACUCAACACGGGGAAACUUACCAGGUCCAGACAUAGCUAGGAUUGACAGAUUGGUGGUUCUUUCUUGAUUCUGUGGGUGGUGGUGCAUGGCCGUUCUUAGUUGGUGGAGUGAUUUGUCUGGUUAAUUCCGUUAACGAACGAGACCUUAGCCUGCUAAAUAGUUUUGCUAAUCCCAUUGGCACAACUUCUUAGAGGGACUUUGUAAAAAAAUACAAGGAAGUUUGAGGCAAUAACAGGUCUGUGAUGCCCUUAGAUGUCCUGGGCCGCACGCGUGCUACACUGAUACGUGCACCGAGCAUAUCCCUACCCGAAAGGUGUAGGUUAAUCAGCAAUACGUAUCGUGAUGGGGAUUGAUCUUUGGAAUUCUUGAUCAUGAACGAGGAAUGCCUAGUAAGCGUAGCUCAUCAGGCUGCGUUGAUUACGUCCCUGCCCCUUGUACACACCGCCCAAUCGCUCCUACCGAUUUCGAGUGGUCCGGUGAACCGUUUGGACCGGGAUCAGUCUUGUGCUGAGCCUGGGAAGUUCAGUAAACCACAUCACUUAGAGGAAGGAGAAGUCGUAACAAGGUUUCCGUAGGUGAACCUGCAGAAGGAUCA